This 450-nucleotide ribosomal RNA is filed under the name uncultured bacterium. RNAcentral's name for it is "bacterial SSU rRNA". It matches the Rfam family "Bacterial small subunit ribosomal RNA", at positions 354 to 796 of the family's 1533-position model. The record is from RNAcentral.
GCUAAGAAUCUUCCGCAAUGGGCGAAAGCCUGACGGAGCGACGCCGCGUGGACGAUGAAGGCCGGAAGGUUGUAAAGUCCUUUUCCUGGGGAGGAAUAAGGUGGGGAGGGAAUGCCCUACUGAUGACGUGAACCAGGGAAUAAGCCCCGGCUAAUUACGUGCCAGCAGCCGCGGUAACACGUAAGGGGCGAGCGUUGUUCGGAUUUAUUGGGCGUAAAGGGCGUGUAGGCGGUAGUGUAAGUCUGGUGUGAAAGGUCCCGGCUCAACCGGGAACGCGCGCUGGAAACUGUACUACUUGAGUUUAGGAGGGGGAGCUGGAAUUCCUGGUGUAGGGGUGAAAUCUGUAGAGAUCAGGAAGAACACCGGUGGCGAAGGCGAGCUCCUGGCCAUAGACUGACGCUGAGGCGCGAAAGCGUGGGGAGCGAACAGGAUUAGAAACCCUAGUAGUCC